UACGUAGGGGGCAAGCGUUGUCCGGAAUCAUUGGGCGUAAAGCGCGUGUAGGCGGCCCGGUAAGUCGGCUGUGAAAGUCCAGGGCUCAACCCUGGAACGCCGGUGGAUACUGCCGGGCUAGAGUCCGGAAGAGGCGAGUGGAAUUCCUGGUGUAGCGGUGAAAUGCGCAGAUAUCAGGAGGAACACCGAUGGCGAAGGCAGCUCGCUGGGACGGUACUGACGCUGAGACGCGAAAGCGUGGGGAGCAAACGGGAUUAGAAACCCG
RNAcentral lists this ribosomal RNA (265 nucleotides) under uncultured bacterium. RNAcentral describes it as "partial 16S ribosomal RNA". It matches the Rfam family "Bacterial small subunit ribosomal RNA", at positions 524 to 789 of the family's 1533-position model. The record is from RNAcentral.